This 496-nucleotide ribosomal RNA is filed under the name uncultured bacterium. Its description in RNAcentral is "partial 16S ribosomal RNA". It matches the Rfam family "Bacterial small subunit ribosomal RNA", at positions 28 to 506 of the family's 1533-position model. The record is from RNAcentral.
GAUGAACGCUGGCGGCGUGCCUAAUACAUGCAAGUCGAGCGAACAGACGAGGAGCUUGCUCCUUUGACGUUAGCGGCGGACGGGUGAGUAACACGUAGGUAACCUACCUAUAAGACUGGGAUAACUUCGGGAAACCGGAGCUAAUACCGGAUAAUAUUUCGAACCGCAUGGUUCGAUAGUGAAAGAUGGCUUUGCUAUCACUUAUAGAUGGACCUGCGCCGUAUUAGCUAGUUGGUAAGGUAACGGCUUACCAAGGCAACGAUACGUAGCCGACCUGAGAGGGUGAUCGGCCACACUGGAACUGAGACACGGUCCAGACUCCUACGGGAGGCAGCAGUAGGGAAUCUUCCGCAAUGGGCGAAAGCCUGACGGAGCAACGCCGCGUGAGUGAUGAAGGUCUUCGGAUCGUAAAACGCUGUUAUUAGGGAAGAACAAACGUGUAAGUAACUGUGCACGUCUUGACGGUACCUAAGCAGAAAGCCACGGCUAACUACGU